CAGCCGCCACGGGAAUACGGAGGGGGCUAGCGUUGUUCGGAAUUACUGGGCGUAAAGCGCACGUAGGCGGCUUGGUAAGUUAGAGGUGAAAGCCCGGAGCUCAACUCCGGAAUUGCCUUUAAGACUGCCGAGCUAGUAGGUGAGAGAGGUAAGUGGAAUUCCGAGUGUAGAGGUGAAAUUCGUAGAUAUUCGGAAGAACACCAGUGGCGAAGGCGGCUUACUGGCUCAUACUGGACGCUGAGGUGCGAAAGCGUGGGGAGCAAACAGGAUUAGAUACCCCAGUAGUCCCUGUCUCUUAUAC
RNAcentral lists this ribosomal RNA (301 nucleotides) under uncultured bacterium. RNAcentral describes it as "partial 16S ribosomal RNA". It matches the Rfam family "Bacterial small subunit ribosomal RNA", at positions 509 to 807 of the family's 1533-position model. The record is from RNAcentral.